This 309-nucleotide long non-coding RNA is filed under the name Carica papaya (papaya). RNAcentral's name for it is "long non-coding RNA (CPAP_LNC000312)". Lineage: Eukaryota; Viridiplantae; Streptophyta; Magnoliopsida; Brassicales; Caricaceae. The record is from RNAcentral.
CGUGCUCAAAGUAUAAAAGAACAAACUAAUUAAAAGAGAAACUCAAAAAUAAAAGCUAUAAAUAUAACUACGGAGUCUUCAGGCGUCCCCUUCGCCGUCUUCCUGCGGAACGGGCUCGGGAACAAUGUCUUCCUAAUCUGAAAUGAUUAAAUAAGGAAUGAGCUACACCAGCCCAGUAAAGACAUCACACUAUCUCACCGUCACGGAGGUAAAGGUAGGUAGAAAACACAAAAAGACCAAUGGAGCAUAAUUUACAACAAAUUCUUUUAUCAAUAAUAAAAUCCUUUACUAUCCACUUUAUCUCGGUGA